RNAcentral lists this ribosomal RNA (268 nucleotides) under uncultured soil bacterium. RNAcentral's name for it is "partial 16S ribosomal RNA". It matches the Rfam family "Bacterial small subunit ribosomal RNA", at positions 26 to 297 of the family's 1533-position model. The record is from RNAcentral.
AGAUUGAACGCUGGCGGCAUGCUUUACACAUGCAAGUCGAACGGUAACAGGCCGCAAGGUGCUGACGAGUGGCGAACGGGUGAGUAAUGUAUCGGAACGUGCCCAGUCGUGGGGGAUAACGCAGCGAAAGCUGCGCUAAUACCGCAUACGAUCUAUGGAUGAAAGCGGGGGACCGUAAGGCCUCGCGCGAUUGGAGCGGCCGAUAGUCAGAUUAGGUAGUUGGUGGGGUAAAGGCUCACCAAGCCAACGAUCUGUAGCUGGUCUGAGA